Molecule: small nucleolar RNA, 140 nt
Organism: Artibeus jamaicensis (Jamaican fruit-eating bat)
Lineage: Eukaryota; Metazoa; Chordata; Mammalia; Chiroptera; Phyllostomidae
Product: small nucleolar RNA SNORA42/SNORA80 family
Exons: 1
Source: RefSeq, a predicted model, not a curated record
UUAUUUUAUUAUUAUUUUAAAAAUCUAUUUCACCCUGUGGGCUUCUCGUAGUGUACCCAUGCCAGAGUAAACUGCAGCCCUGAACCAUUGCCCAGCCUCCUUAUCUGUGGGCUGUGAGCACUGAAGGGGGUUGUACAGUG